Molecule: ribosomal RNA, 776 nt
Filed under: uncultured Neocallimastigales
Lineage: Eukaryota; Fungi; Neocallimastigomycota; Neocallimastigomycetes; Neocallimastigales
Description: partial large subunit ribosomal RNA
Rfam family: Eukaryotic large subunit ribosomal RNA
Source: RNAcentral
UAUCUCUGUAGAGUCUGCAUAUCAAUAAGCGGAGGAAAAGAAACUAACAAGGAUUCCCCUAGUAACGGCGAGUGAAGCGGGAAGAGCUCAAAUUUGAAAUCUUCAAGGUUUGACCUUGACGAAUUGUAGUUUAAAGAAGUGUUUUCGGUUAGAGGAGUAGUAAAAGUUCUUUGGAAUAGGACAUCAUAGAGGGUGAGAAUCCCGUAUUUGGACUAUUCAUUUCUAGCUUUGUGAUACACUUUCAAAGAGUCGGAUUGUUUGGGAAUGCAGGUCCAAAAUGGGUGGUAAAUUUCAUCUAAAGCUAAAUAUUGGCGAGAGACCGAUAGCGAACAAGUACCGUGAGGGAAAGAUGAAAAGAACUUUGAAAAGAGAGUUAAACAGUACGUGAAAUUGUCAAAAGGGAAGCGUUUGACACCAGUGUUGUUUUUCCGAAAAUCAAUUAAAAAUUGAUUCAUGCCAGGUUGUAUUGACCUUAUCAGCUUGCAAUUUGGUUUUGGGUCUCUUUUUGAUGCACUUUUCGGUUAACAAGUCAACAUCAAUUUCCUUUGCUGUAAAAAGGUAAGAGGAAGGUGGCUUCAAUUUCGGUUGAAGUGUUUAUAGCCUUUUAUCUCUGCAGUCGGGGAGAUUGAGGUCUGCAGCGUAGAUCCUUCGGGGCUAGAUACAUUUAUGCUAAGUUAUAGCUUUUCAUAGACAACUUGUUGACUAUGUUUAGUCAUGUAGCUUACUCGUAAGUGCUAUUUUACCUACGCUUAGGAUGUUGAAGACUCUACAGAGAU